AAUAAAGUGCCUGAAUAAAGGAUUAUUCUGAUAGAAUAAAUUAUGUAAAAUAUUUACCUUUAUUA
Molecule: transfer RNA, 65 nt
Filed under: Dercas lycorias (plain sulphur)
Lineage: Eukaryota; Metazoa; Arthropoda; Insecta; Lepidoptera; Pieridae
Description: tRNA-Ile
Source: RNAcentral